GGCCCGGUGGUCUAGUGGUAAGACUUCCGUCUCUCAAUUGAUCAGCCACUUCUUGGAUACUUCAGGCUCAGAUUUGGAUAUCUUGAGCUUGCGGCUGAUUGAGAAAUGAUGGAUAACUCCAGUUCGAUUCUGGAUCGGGCUA
RNAcentral lists this transfer RNA (142 nucleotides) under Pseudogymnoascus sp. VKM F-4281 (FW-2241). It matches the Rfam family "tRNA". Rfam says of the family: Transfer RNA (tRNA) molecules are approximately 80 nucleotides in length. The record is from Rfam by way of RNAcentral. Lineage: Eukaryota; Fungi; Ascomycota; Leotiomycetes; Thelebolales; Thelebolaceae.